Bufo bufo (common toad) is the source of this 100-nucleotide long non-coding RNA. RefSeq lists it as uncharacterized. Lineage: Eukaryota; Metazoa; Chordata; Amphibia; Anura; Bufonidae. The record is from RefSeq and is a predicted model, not a curated record. The transcript is spliced from 3 exons.
UAUUCACAGAAAUCUAUCUGUAUAGCGCCACCUGCUGUUUGCCCUUUUUCUAAAUUCUGUCUCUAGCUCACUGAGGUUGACUUAGAUCAGUGGUUGCUGA